Camellia sinensis is the source of this 395-nucleotide non-coding RNA. Lineage: Eukaryota; Viridiplantae; Streptophyta; Magnoliopsida; Ericales; Theaceae. The record is from RefSeq and is a predicted model, not a curated record.
GGAGAAGGAAUCUGAGAGAGAGAGAGAGCACGGCUGAGAGAGAGACCGAGAGGAAGAAAGAAAAUGGAAGAAUAAAGCCUUGUGGGAUAUCAAAACUCAAGCUAAAAAUUAUGGAAAACUCAUCAUGAGGUCAAGACUCGAAGACCGAACAACGGGUAUUGGAAGGCCACUGUGAGCAUUUUGGAUGGCAAGCUUAGAAGGGGUCUAUAGCUGAGUCACCGUUUGAAAACCUACCGAGUUGUUUUGUGUGCCUCUGAGUUGGGGCUAGGCCUGAAAGGCCGUUGUCAAGCUUUUGAUCGUGAAGUAAACUUUCGUUAUGUGCAUACGUUAUGUAUUAAUGUUAAGUUACAAGUUAUGUACUGAAUGUGGGUAAAUUAACGUUUUUGCAGGAUAAA